This 3234-nucleotide long non-coding RNA is filed under the name Orbicella faveolata. Its description in RNAcentral is "uncharacterized LOC110046029". The record is from RNAcentral. Lineage: Eukaryota; Metazoa; Cnidaria; Anthozoa; Scleractinia; Merulinidae.
UAAGCUUUAAUUUGAUAUAGGGGUUUAGGUAUCUACAGCUUAAACCAGAAGUGCUACAUCGCUCGGACGUGAGACACCCCUGAAGGUAUAUGGUAACCUUAAACUUAAUGAAUACAUAAUUUAUGUAUGUUUUUGAGAUGUAAGCAGCCUACAUCAUAGUCAUGAUCAUGAACUUCCCUUUUUGGCUACUGACAUUUCAAUUUCCAGUAACUUUUGCCAUGGUUUGCAUCCUAAAAACUUUCUUCAGCUCACUUUGCACUUAAGGCUCAUGAAAGACCAUUACAUGCAGAAGUAUUUGCUCAUCAUGUGAUCCAGACAACUUGAGCAUUUGCUACCUGUGAAUGCUUCUAAGUAUCAUUUCUAUAAAAUGGAGGGCUGAUUUUUUUUGAACAUUGAAAUUGAUGUAGGAAGGUGAUAGAUUAUUUUUCAGAAUUUGAUCUUUAUGCACGAUUUUAUUUAAAAAUUUUCAGCUUAUUGUUCUUCACUUCUGUUCCACGAGGAGACAGGCAUCGUGAGUUUCUUGAGAAAAGCAAUUGCCCUGGAUGAGUUUUUAGAUGCCAAGGUUGAGCUGCUUAAAUUUCUUAAAUCCUAUGUCAUGGUGCUUGGGAAGAAAGUAAAUCCUUAUGUUGUGGAUAUAAAGGACAUUUGUGUAAAAAUCUUCUCCCAAGAUCGCAGCAACAAGGCAAAAGUGGAAACUUUCCCUCUCCUUGCCCAGGUAUAUGCCAAGUCGUCACAUUAUUAUGCCCUGCUAUACCACUUAGAGAUAAGUACACUUGCACAUGCAUUUUAAAGACAACCUUAACCUGAAGAAAAUUUGUCUACACAUCAUCUUUAACAUGUUGAGUACAUGCUUUUUUAAUCAUGUGACCAAAUUUUUCAAAAGAGGAGUCCCUUGGUGAUAAAUUUGGGAAAUCUAUCCAAAGCAAGCUCAAAAAUGCCAGGAAUUCCACAAAAUUUUGAUUUUUAGGGUUUUUGUGAAAUCUUGCAUUUUCUUUGUUAUUCCUAUGCAGUAUUUCUAGUGUGAUAAGUAGAGCUCAAACAAAGGCACAGUAGGCCGUAUGUAUGACCCAGUCACAUUUUACAAAAUCAGCCAUUCUGGGACACAUGUUACUCAAUAGGACAUUUCCCUUUGUUAUUCUUACCCAGUAUUUCUAGUGUGAUAAGUGGAGUUCAAAUAAAAGCACAAUAGGCCCUUUGCAUGACCCAGUCAAAUGGUACAAAAUGAGCCAUUCUGGGACACAAGUACAAUAGGCAAUAAAAAUCGUAGGGAUGACCAAAACAAUAUGGAAACUCGUCCAGCGGAUGACUUUAGUUUGACUUAUGAAUUUUCGUAUGAGUUCCAUGCAUUCUGACCACUUGUUAUCCAUUUGGAACUUGUAGAAAAGAGAGAAAGAUUUGCAGCUUUCUUUCGUGAUAAAAUCGUCCUUGUGGUCUCCAUCUUGAAUGACAUGAUGAAUGAAAUCAUUGCAGGCUCAAUUUUCAUUUUGUCAACCGCUGAUGCUCAGUACUGCAUCUGCAUCCGAAAUCAGGAUAUGGCAUUUAGUAAUGUUAACAAUUCAGAAAAACAAGCCAAAUACGAGCAGGAAGAGCGAAAGAGUUCCUGUCAGUCUUCAUGGCAGUUGAAGAGGUUGUACCUGGUUUUUCUGUGUCUGCCAACAGCUACAACUAUGGACAUGCUGUACUGGGAACGUGCUGUUCUGUUGCAACCCCUAGGAUUUCAUGGUAAUGAUUGUUUCUGGUACUGUAUCAUUGCUGUGAUUCAGAAAUAACAGAACCGAAAAACCAUUUGCCACGGACAUCUUCAGCCUUGCUGAUCAAAAUUUAUUUGACAAAAGCUUUUUUCUUUUUUUAGUCUCAACAACAAGAGUAACUCCUUUGAUAAGCACUCUCAUCAUAUGUGAAACUAAAACAUUGUUUUGCCAUAUUGUAUCCACCCCAAAGUGCAUUGCAUGGUAUGUCAAUGGACAAGUAAAAUUUUGUCAGGACAUACUUGCCCAGCUGAGACUUGGUGAAAAACCAAUAAGGAUCCCUGCAAUAGGUCUUCCAAAAUAAAGGCAGGUUAAGGUGGACUGGAACAAGUUGUUUUGUUUAGGAAGUCCCACGGUGCAACUUGCACCCCAGCAUGACUGAUUCUGUACCAUGUGACCAGGUCAUGCAAAGGGCCUAUUAGUAAAACCAAAUGUCAACACUCAAACUAUUAGACUUGAAAUUCAUCUAUUAUCAUUUGUCAUAUAACAUACCGUAAAUUCAGGCAGAUAAGCAGCACCUUUUUACUCAAAAUUUUCCUAAAAAAUCGGGGACACGGCUUAUAUGUGAGAACAUCUGGAUGAUGUGCCAAUCAUUUGCAUAAAUCAACACUUUUCUUCAAAAAAUAAUAAGUUUGUAUGAAAAACAAACAGAAGCGUAUCACCUCGAACUAGGUCAUAUGCUUCUGAAGCAAACUAAUCAGACUUCAUAAAACUAAUAAUAUCAGAGUACGCAUCUAUCAUUGCUUUUUCAAGUUUGGUGGCUCCCAAAAGAGCCGUUCUUGUUCAUAAGCAUAAGCCUACAUUUCUUGCUCUUAAACAAUGUUAAACCUUCAUUAAAAAAUAUUUUAGCCAGUUUAGGGUUGCCACUUUAGACCAACUAAAGGCCCCGCAGCAGAGAGUCUCCAUGCCGGUUCAAAGCUGUUCUUUUCACUGUUUCAAUGAGCUGUGAUCAAAAACUACUUUUGUCCCGUACUCCAUCUCUUGGUGAAGUACCUGGCUACUAAGCUACAAACAAAUGAACAAAAGCACUGUAAGUUGUAGGUAAAACAGGAAUGACAGGAAUGAAAAAAUACUGGUUGAAAAAUACCAGAGAAAGAUUAAACAUAUGUCAAAGUCGGUAGACAUCAUGUCUAUACUAUUGGAGAACUAAAAUUAUUGGUAAGGGUUUCGGUUUGAAGUAUUCUAUGUUUUCAAUGUUAGUGAGUUUUUGAUAAAUCAAGAAAUGUACAUGAAAAGAAUCUUUCUCAAGACUCCACAUGUAAAUAAGUUUGAUUUCUUUCCAAAAACUUUCCGAAAUUUGAGUUACCAAACUUGGGGUCUGGCUUAUCUUCGAGUGGGACUUACAAAUGACAUAGUUCUUAAGGAAAAUGAAGUUCCCAUCACAAAUAAGAAACAGAUUGCAGAGUUGAUGAACAAUCACUUCGUCAAGGUGACGGAAAAUGCUGAUGAUGUAAAGGAAAGUGAUUUUGGAGAAGACUUCGUGAAU